GGAUGGGUAGUGAAGUGGCUAAACACGGGUGGCUGUAACCCAUCUCCUAACGGUUCGGGGGUUCGAAUCCCUCUCCAUCCACCA
This 84-nucleotide transfer RNA is filed under the name Spiroplasma sp. TIUS-1. RNAcentral describes it as "tRNA-Tyr". It matches the Rfam family "tRNA". From Rfam's summary of the family: Transfer RNA (tRNA) molecules are approximately 80 nucleotides in length. The record is from RNAcentral. Lineage: Bacteria; Bacillati; Mycoplasmatota; Mollicutes; Entomoplasmatales; Spiroplasmataceae.